ACUCAGAUAUAGAGGUAAUGUUACACUCCAUGGACUCAGAUAUAGAGGUAAUGUUACAGCCCCCUGGACUCAGAUAUAGAGGUAAUGUUACACUCCAUGGAAGUCACACACACACAAAACAUUAAGGCCAAAGUUUGUUGACAAUGGGACAGAUGGACAAAAGUAGAGUAAUACUUUCAUGACUGCACUGAGAUCAUCAGUACAUUUAUCAUUUAUGCUAUCAGUUUUACAAACACAUUUUCCCAGUUAGUUUUCUUCUGAUUAAUCAGCCUGUAUGUUUAACCCUCACUGUCAUUUUCUUCCCAGUGUAGAUAUGAUGUUAAUAGUCAGCAAAAUGUCUUUUGUAUUAUUUUAUUAUUGUAUUAUU
Oncorhynchus keta (chum salmon) is the source of this 367-nucleotide long non-coding RNA. RefSeq lists it as uncharacterized. The record is from RefSeq and is a predicted model, not a curated record. The transcript has 3 exons. NCBI's taxonomy places the organism in Eukaryota, Metazoa, Chordata, Actinopteri, Salmoniformes, Salmonidae.